CCUACGGGAGGCAGCAGUGGGGAAUAGUGGACAAUGGGGGCAACCCUGAUCCAGCCAUGCCGCGUGUGUGAAGAAGGCCCUCGGGUUGUAAAGCACUUUCAGUGAGGAAGAACGCCUGGUGGUUAAUACCCAUCAGGAAAGACAUCACUCACAGAAGAAGCACCGGCUAACUCCGUGCCAGCAGCCGCGGUAAUACGGAGGGUGCGAGCGUUAAUCGGAAUUACUGGGCGUAAAGCGCGCGUAGGUGGCUUGAUAAGCCGGUUGUGAAAGCCCCGGGCUCAACCUGGGAACGGCAUCCGGAACUGUCAAGCUAGAGUGCAGGAGAGGAAGGUAGAAUUCCCGGUGUAGCGGUGAAAUGCGUAGAGAUCGGGAGGAAUACCAGUGGCGAAGGCGGCCUUCUGGACUGACACUGACACUGAGGUGCGAAAGCGUGGGUAGCAAACAGGAUUAGAUACCCGUGUAGUC
RNAcentral lists this ribosomal RNA (465 nucleotides) under Vreelandella stevensii. RNAcentral describes it as "partial 16S ribosomal RNA". It matches the Rfam family "Bacterial small subunit ribosomal RNA", at positions 338 to 795 of the family's 1533-position model. Lineage: Bacteria; Pseudomonadati; Pseudomonadota; Gammaproteobacteria; Oceanospirillales; Halomonadaceae. The record is from RNAcentral.